RNAcentral lists this ribosomal RNA (800 nucleotides) under Setoarthopyrenia chromolaenae. Its description in RNAcentral is "partial large subunit ribosomal RNA". It matches the Rfam family "Eukaryotic large subunit ribosomal RNA", at positions 91 to 909 of the family's 3401-position model. The record is from RNAcentral. Lineage: Eukaryota; Fungi; Ascomycota; Dothideomycetes; Pleosporales; Thyridariaceae.
GAGUGAAGCGGCAACAGCUCAAAUUUGAAAUCUGGCUCUUUCAGGGUCCGAGUUGUAAUUUGUAGAGGGUGCUUUGGUGUUGGCCGUGGUCUAAGUUCCUUGGAACAGGACGUCACAGAGGGUGAGAAUCCCGUACGUGGCCGCCGGUCUUCACCGUGUAAAGCCCCUUCGACGAGUCGAGUUGUUUGGGAAUGCAGCUCUAAAUGGGAGAUAAAUUUCUUCUAAAGCUAAAUAUUGGCCAGAGACCGAUAGCGCACAAGUAGAGUGAUCGAAAGAUGAAAAGCACUUUGGAAAGAGAGUCAAAAAGCACGUGAAAUUGUUGAAAGGGAAGCGCUUGCAGCCAGACGUGCCCGCAGUUGCUCACCUGGGCUCUCGCCCGGGGCAUUCUUCUGCGGGCAGGCCAGCAUCAGUUCGGGCGGUUGGAUAAAGGCCUCUAUCACGUAUCUUCCUUCGGGAUGACCUUAUAGGGGAGGCGCAACACGGCCAGCCUGAACUGAGGACCGCGCAUCAGCUAGGAUGCUGGCGUAAUGGCUGUAAGCGGCCCGUCUUGAAACACGGACCAAGGAGUCUAACAUCUAUGCGAGUGUUUGGGUGUCAAGCCCGGGCGCGCAAUGAAAGUGAACGGAGGUGGGAACCUUUCGGGGUGCACCAUCGACCGAUCCUGAAGUCUUCGGAUGGAUUUGAGUAAGAGCAUAGCUGUUGGGACCCGAAAGAUGGUGAACUAUGCCUGAAUAGGGUGAAGCCAGGGGAAACCCUGGUGGAGGCUCGCAGCGGUUCUGACGUGCAAAUCGAUCGUCAAA